GAAAUGCGAUAAGUAGUGUGAAUUGCAGAAUUCAGUGAAUCAUCGAAUCUUUGAACGCACAUUGCGCCCCUUGGUAUUCCAUGGGGCAUGCCUGUUCGAGCGUCAUUUGAACCUUCAAGCUUUGCUUGGUGUUGGGCGUUGUCCGUAAGGACUUGCCUCAAAAUUAUUGGCAGCAGAUUAUCAGUAGUUCAGCGCAGCACAUUUGCGUUUCUCCUCAUAGUCUACAUCCAUUAAGAUUUCAAUCGUUUGACCUCGGAUCAGGUAGGGAUACCCGCUGAACUUAA
This 284-nucleotide unclassified non-coding RNA is filed under the name uncultured Pleosporales. RNAcentral's name for it is "sequence contains ITS1". The stretch from base 1 to 105 matches the Rfam family "5.8S ribosomal RNA", at positions 50 to 154 of the family's 154-position model. The record is from RNAcentral. Lineage: Eukaryota; Fungi; Ascomycota; Dothideomycetes; Pleosporales.